RNAcentral lists this ribosomal RNA (717 nucleotides) under Bacillus amyloliquefaciens. RNAcentral describes it as "bacterial SSU rRNA". It matches the Rfam family "Bacterial small subunit ribosomal RNA", at positions 56 to 751 of the family's 1533-position model. The record is from RNAcentral. Lineage: Bacteria; Bacillati; Bacillota; Bacilli; Caryophanales; Bacillaceae.
UGGUUCCCGAGGACGGGACAGAUGGGGAGCUUUGCUCCCUGAUGUUACCGGCGGACGGGUGAGUAACACGUGGGUAACCUGCCUGUAACACUGGGAUCACUCCGGGAAACCGGGGCUAAUACCGGAUGGUUGUCCGAACCGCAUGGUUCAUACAUAAAGGGUGGCUUCCGCUACCACUUACAGAUGGACCCGCGGCGCAUUAGCUAUUUGGUGAGGUAACGGCUCACCAAGGCGACUAUGCCUAGCCCACCUGAGAGGGUGAUCGGCCACGGUGGGACUGACACACGGCCCAGACUCCUAGGGGAGGCAACAGUAGGGAAUCUUCCGCAAUGGACGAAUGUCUGACGGAGCAACGCCGCGUGAGUGAUGAAGGUUUUCAGAUCGUAAAGCUCUGUUGUUAGGGAAAAACAAGUGCCUUUAAAAUAGGGCGGCACCUUGACGGUACCUAACCAGAAAGCCACGGCUAACUACGUGCCAGCAGCCGCGGUAAUACGUAGGUGGCAAGCGUUGUCCGGAAAUAUUGGGCGUAGAGGGCUCGCAGGCGGUUUCUUAAUCUGAUGUGAAAACCCCCAGCUCACCCGGGGAGGGGUCAUUGGAAACUGGGGAACCUGAUGCAAAAGAGGGAGAGUGAAAUUCCACGUGUAGCCGUGAAAUGCAUAGAGAUGUGAAAAAACACCAAUGUCAAAGGGACUCUCUGGUCUGUAACUGACCCUGACG